GUGGUGGCUCAGUGGUAGAGCGCUUGCCUAGCAUGUGUGAGGCACUAGGUUCAAUCCUCAGCACCACA
RNAcentral lists this transfer RNA (68 nucleotides) under Marmota monax (woodchuck). Its description in RNAcentral is "tRNA.Ala". Lineage: Eukaryota; Metazoa; Chordata; Mammalia; Rodentia; Sciuridae. The record is from RNAcentral.